Molecule: ribosomal RNA, 253 nt
Filed under: uncultured bacterium
Lineage: Bacteria
Description: partial 16S ribosomal RNA
Rfam family: Bacterial small subunit ribosomal RNA
Source: RNAcentral
UACGUAUGGUGCAAGCGUUAUCCGGAUUUACUGGGUGUAAAGGGAGCGCAGGCGGCACGGCAAGCCUGAUGCGAAAGCCCGCGGCCCAACCGCGGGACUGCAUUGGGAACUACCGGGCUGGAGUGCCGGAGAGGUAGGCGGAAUUCCUAGUGUAGCGGUGAAAUGCGUAGAUAUUAGGAGGAACACCAGUGGCGAAGGCGGCCUACUGGACGGUGACUGACGCUGAGGCUCGAAAGCGUGGGGAGCAAACAGG